AAGCCUAUACUUCCGGGGAUCAUUUCUAUAGUUUGUGACCUAGAAUAAAGGUAGAAAACUGCCUGAUCCAAGGA
This is a small nucleolar RNA of 74 nucleotides. Its record names the gene U3. It matches the Rfam family "Small nucleolar RNA U3". Rfam says of the family: Small nucleolar RNAs (snoRNAs) are involved in the processing and modification of rRNA in the nucleolus. There are two main classes of snoRNAs: the box C/D class, and the box H/ACA class. The record is from Ensembl.